AUAAACGUAAACAAAACAAGACAACUUGGACUUCACAUUUGCCAAAAUCGGGCCACUCUCUACCUGUUUGCAGUCCUAGAGUCCAAGAGUAGGAAGAAUAUAGAGGCAGUACCCUCAAGCUUCCAACUGAGGUUGACCAACGGGGAGGGAGCACAGACAAAAACCUGCAUGAUACGAAGAGAAUGAGAUCAGGAUAUUCCCGUGGCUUUCUCCCUGCAAGACCAAGUCAGGCUGUCUCUUGCCUUUGCAUGAUGUCACUUGUCCUCUUCAGGUGACCUGCUC
This 282-nucleotide long non-coding RNA is filed under the name Homo sapiens (human). RNAcentral describes it as "non-protein coding lnc-GLDC-8:1". Lineage: Eukaryota; Metazoa; Chordata; Mammalia; Primates; Hominidae. The record is from RNAcentral.